UCCCGUCGAAUUCCGGCACUGGGCGCAAC
This 29-nucleotide small RNA is filed under the name Bombyx mori (domestic silkworm). Its description in RNAcentral is "ovarian small RNA-27337". Lineage: Eukaryota; Metazoa; Arthropoda; Insecta; Lepidoptera; Bombycidae. The record is from RNAcentral.